AUCUUGUCUGCCCAGCUUCCCGUAGCCAUCCUCGCCUGCCUUCUCGCGCUGUUUCUAGCUCUCGCCAUCCCUCGGCGUACUCUUCCUCUCCUCCGAGUCAGAGUACCCUGGAGGGAUAAUGCUCUGCAGUUAUGAAAGUUUCUUUGUCUUUCUUUACGGAUCAUUAUGCUGCCAAGGCUGAGUUUACUGUUUGCUGUUACAAGAAGGAUUGUGCUUCAGUGAAAAGAAGAUGGAUUUUGAAUGUGAGGACUGGUGUUAAAAUCUAAUUCAGUUACCGCCUAGCUGUGUUAUC
Molecule: long non-coding RNA, 292 nt
Filed under: Homo sapiens (human)
Lineage: Eukaryota; Metazoa; Chordata; Mammalia; Primates; Hominidae
Description: non-protein coding lnc-CD38-3:8
Source: RNAcentral